This 383-nucleotide ribosomal RNA is filed under the name Echis khosatzkii. Its description in RNAcentral is "partial 16S ribosomal RNA". It matches the Rfam family "Bacterial large subunit ribosomal RNA", at positions 1998 to 2597 of the family's 2925-position model. Lineage: Eukaryota; Metazoa; Chordata; Lepidosauria; Squamata; Viperidae. The record is from RNAcentral.
GGCAACAUGAGAGCCAAACUGUCUCUUAUAACAAAUCAAUUAAACUGAUCCCCUAGUACAAAAGCUAGGAUUAAACCAUAAGACCAGAAGACCCUGUGAAGCUUUAAUUAAACUAUUAACCCAUAUAAUAGCUAAUUUCGGUUGGGGCGACCUUGGAACAAAAAAGAACUUCCAAAUAUACGCAGCUUCCUGCACCAAAGGCCGACAAGCCACAAAUAGACCCAGUACAUCUGAUAAAUGAACCAAGUUACUCCAGGGAUAACAGCGCUAUCUUCUUCAAGAGCCCAUAUCAAAAAGAAGGUUUACGACCUCGAUGUUGGAUCAGGACAUCCUAGUGAUGCAACCGUUACUAAGGGUUCGUUUGUUCAACGAUUAAUAGUCCU